RNAcentral lists this ribosomal RNA (755 nucleotides) under Bacillus pumilus. RNAcentral's name for it is "bacterial SSU rRNA". It matches the Rfam family "Bacterial small subunit ribosomal RNA", at positions 55 to 774 of the family's 1533-position model. Lineage: Bacteria; Bacillati; Bacillota; Bacilli; Caryophanales; Bacillaceae. The record is from RNAcentral.
AUGCAUGUCCGAGGCGGGACAGAAAAGGGAGCUGUGCUCCCGGAUGUUAGCGGCGGGCACGGCCCCCUUUUAAAAAAAGUGGGUAACCUGCCUGUAAGACUGGGAUCCACUCCGGGGAAACCGGAGCUAAUACCGGAUAGUUCCUUGAACCGCAUGGUUCAAGGAUGAAAGACGGUUUCGGCUGUCACUUACAGAUGGACCCGCGGCGCAUUAGCUAGUUGGUGGGGUAAUGGCUCACCAAGGCGACGAUGCGUAGCCGACCUGAGAGGGUGAUCGGCCACACUGGGACUGAGACACGGCCCAGACUCCUACGGGAGGCAGCAGUAGGGAAUCUUCCGCAAUGGACGAAAGUCUGACGGAGCAACGCCGCGUGAGUGAUGAAGGUUUUCGGAUCGUAAAGCUCUGUUGAUAGGGAAGAACAAGUGCGAGAGUAACUGCUCGCACCUUGACGGUACCUAACCAGAAAGCCACGGCUAACUACGUGCCAGCAGCCGCGGUAAUACGUAGGUGGCAAGCGUUGUCCGGAAUUAUUGGGCGUAAAGGGCUCGCAGGCGGUUUCUUAAGUCUGAUGUGAAAGCCCCCGGCUCAACCGGGGAGGGUCAUUGAGAAACUGGGGAAACUUGAGUGCAGAAGAGGAGAGUGGAAUUCCACGUGUAGCGGUGGAAAUAGCGUAAAGAUGUGGGAGGGAACACCAGUGGCGAAGGGCGAACUCUUCUGGGUCUGUACCUCCCGCUGAGCGUGUAUUCUACCUAGUG